AGUACAGAGAAGACAUUGCUGGAACUGGCAGCAGAUGAGAAUACCCCGCAUAGAUCACAUGACCACAUUAAUAAGGAUGGGUGAGGAACAGCAUCACAUGAGCGAGAAGAUACUAAACCUCACCCUGGAGAUCAUCUACCUUCUGACCGGAGAGAGUUUGCCUCAUCUGAAAUCAGGUGAUCAUAUGACCAUCACAGUGCCUCCAUGUGACUCCCUAAAACUUGAGAGACACAACAUACAGAAGAUUCUA
Rana temporaria (common frog) is the source of this 250-nucleotide long non-coding RNA. RefSeq lists it as uncharacterized. The transcript has 3 exons. NCBI's taxonomy places the organism in Eukaryota, Metazoa, Chordata, Amphibia, Anura, Ranidae. The record is from RefSeq and is a predicted model, not a curated record.